This 465-nucleotide long non-coding RNA is filed under the name Nicotiana benthamiana. RNAcentral's name for it is "long non-coding RNA (NBEN_LNC028978)". The record is from RNAcentral. Lineage: Eukaryota; Viridiplantae; Streptophyta; Magnoliopsida; Solanales; Solanaceae.
GUGAGUUCCUGGCUGUCUUUGUGGUUCCUUCUCCCGUAACUGCGUAUUAUAGUGUUUCAAGUUUCAGUCAAAGUGUACUUGUUAAAGAAAAAGGAAGAAAAAAGAAAAAGAAAAGUCUGUGUGCCUCUGGUUUAAUUUUUUUCUGGUGAAUUUCAUAACAGUGUCCAGAUCUCAGAUGUCAGCGCCUCCAGGGUUUUCAGCACCAAACAGAGCACCACCCCCGGGAUUUACUUCUCAUUAUGAGAGAAUGGAGCAGAAUUUUGACUCUCUCAGUGGUCUGUUAUUACAAAGGCCUUUUGUUUUUUCUACUUUGUUGACAUAAUAUAUGCAUUAUGAGAGAGUUGAACAGAAUUUUGACUCUCUCCAUGGUCUGUUAUUAUAAAGGCCUUUUGUUUUUUCUACUUUGUUGACAUAAUAUAUGUAUAUUUUGAUGGUUUAUGUAAAAUCAUUACAUUUUGCAGGGAG